This 1248-nucleotide ribosomal RNA is filed under the name Tomato big bud phytoplasma. RNAcentral describes it as "bacterial SSU rRNA". It matches the Rfam family "Bacterial small subunit ribosomal RNA", at positions 153 to 1399 of the family's 1533-position model. The record is from RNAcentral. RNAcentral also lists the same sequence under 14 other names. Lineage: Bacteria; Bacillati; Mycoplasmatota; Mollicutes; Acholeplasmatales; Acholeplasmataceae.
GAAACGACUGCUAAGACUGGAUAGGAAGAUAAAAGGCAUCUUGUAUCUUUUAAAAGACCUAGUUAAUAGGUAUGCUUUAGGAGGGGCUUGCGCCAUAUUAGUUAGUUGGUAGGGUAAUGGCCUACCAAGACGAUGAUGUGUAGCUGGACUGAGAGGUUGAACAGCCACAUUGGGACUGAGACACGGCCCAAACUCCUACGGGAGGCAGCAGUAGGGAAUUUUCGGCAAUGGAGGAAACUCUGACCGAGCAACGCCGCGUGAAUGACGAAGUACUUCGGUAUGUAAAGUUCUUUUAUCGAGGAAGAAAAGCAAAUGGCGAACCAUUUGUUUGCCGGUACUUGAUGAAUAAGCCCCGGCUAAUUAUGUGCCAGCAGCCGCGGUAAGACAUAAGGGGCAAGUGUUAUCCGGAAUUAUUGGGCGUAAAGGGUGCGUAGGCGGUCUAGUAAGUCAGUGGUGUAAUGUCAACGCUUAACGUUGUCCGGCUAUUGAAACUGCUAAACUUGAGUUAGAUAGAGGCGAGUGGAAUUCCAUGUGUAGCGGUAAAAUGCGUAAAUAUAUGGAGGAACACCAGAGGCGUAGGCGGCUCGCUGGGUCUUAACUGACGCUGAGGCACGAAAGCGUGGGGAGCAAACAGGAUUAGAUACCCUGGUAGUCCACGCCGUAAACGAUGAGUACUAAGUGUCGGGUUAAACCGGUACUGAAGUUAACACAUUAAGUACUCCGCCUGAGUAGUACGUACGCAAGUAUGAAACUUAAAGGAAUUGACGGGACUCCGCACAAGCGGUGGAUCAUGUUGUUUAAUUCGAAGAUACCCGAAAAACCUUACCAGGUCUUGACAUGUUUUUGCAAAAUGAUAGUAAUAUCGUGGAGGUUACCAGAAACACAGGUGGUGCAUGGUUGUCGUCAGCUCGUGUCGUGAGAUGUUAGGUUAAGUCCUAAAACGAGCGAAACCCUUAUCGUUAGUUGCCAGCACGUUAUGGUGGGGACUUUAACGAGACUGCCAAUGAUAAAUUGGAGGAAGGUGAGGAUCACGUCAAAUCAGCAUGCCCCUUAUGACCUGGGCUACAAACGUGAUACAAUGGCUGUUACAAAGGGUAGCUGAAACGCAAGUUCUUGGCCAAUCCCCAAAAACAGUCCCAGUCCGGAUUGAAGUCUGCAACUCGACUUCAUGAAGUUGGAAUCGCUAGUAAUCGCGAAUCAGCAUGUCGCGGUGAAUACGUUCUCGGGGUUUGUACACACCGCCCGUCA